AUUUCCUUGGUCCUGCAAACUCUGUGCCUCAUGGAAAGAGGCAUGGCAGGAGAAGGGCCAGGACAGCUCUCUCCAGAAGUCCUCUUCCCACGUGGAGCCCUGUCAACCUCUCUGUUAACCACACUUCAUCUUUUCCCUGCAGUUUCAAGUGCAGUAUACUGAGCUCUUCUUAACACAUCCAAAAUUAAACACAGUAUUUUAUUGUGAGUUCCUGGGGGUUUGGCCAGGUUGUCUCAGAGCUCUUCUGAAAGUUCUGGAUAUGUGGGAGCAGCCUUGUAUAUUUCCUUAACCAGUAUCUGGGUCCUGAUUCUUGGCUCUCCAUUCUCGCCUUCAAGUUCUUCCGAGUAUGCCAGAGACCAGCUGCAGCCAGGGUACCAUGCAGAAACCGUUCACACUGUGGUCAUUCCUGCAUCGCAUCCCGGGAUCCAUCUGACACGUUAGGAAGGAAGCCAUGGGAGCUGAGCUCGCCAGCUUUCUCUCUGACACGCUGAUAGAGCUUUUCCUCCUGCCUUCCUCGUAGAUGUCCUCUCUGCAGCAAAUGGAAAAACUGAGGCUUGUUGAGGUUAAGUGGCAAGCAAGAAUUCAACCCUGGGAUGGAGUAUAGAGUUGAAGCUUGUUUGUGGUGCUACCACACACCGCCUCUGACCUUGCAUCCGGAGGUAAGUCCCUUGAGAGCAGGGACUUUAUAGUCUUAGGAGUGUGUCUUGCUCCUCUCUCUAUCCCUAGUGCACCCACACAAGUGAGCACACAGCACCACUGCGUAUUUGUUGGUUAACAUGAUGAACGCGUAUACUUACUGCUCAGCAGUGAAUGAGCUCACUAUGGCCACCACUUACCCCAUCCACCAUGCAACUGUGCUGCCAAUAGAAAUCAUUCCAUCACUUUCUGGGGUCUCUCCGUCCUCUGUGUUUACACACUGGAGCAUGAUCCUCCCAGCGACUGACAGCUGCUGAGUGAGAUCAUUAAGGCUUCAGAACUGAAACGCCAAACCCUGGGGUUGGAGGCUACAGUCACCUGAGUACCUUGAGGACUUCAGCUCAUCUUCAUCACAACCAGACGAUUUGAACUCUGCACAUGGGCAAGAAAAGGCAGCAGCUACCGAGAAGCCUUUGCAGCCGUGCAGUGGGGGUGGGGCAGGAGCAUCUGCAGUUGCCAGACCCCUCAGACCUGUUUGCUCCCCUGGUCUCUCCAAGACUGCCUGGAAUCCUUGCGACCCAGAAUCAUUGUCUCCCCAUGUGGUGAUUCUGGGGAAUCAGCUGAUGGAAGCAGAGGGCAGGGGGGCUGUUCCACAUCAAUGACAAAGCUUCCAGAGGCCAUUGUGAUGUUGCAAGAUUCAACAGCCCACACCCUGGUGUUUGCUGACAGCAUCAUCUCUUUUCCCUCUGUCCAAUAAGUGGUCCCCCUUCUCACUUUCUCUCAAGUCUUUCAGAUCCAACUAAUCAGAUUUUUUUUCCCCUGAGGAAGAUUUGCCCUGAGCUAACAUCUGUGCCAAUCUUUCUCUAUUUUGUAUGUGGGUCACCACCACAGCAUGGCUGUCAAUGAGUGGUAUGGUUCCGUGCCUGGGAACCAAACUCUGGCCAUUGAAGCAAAGCGCACCUAACUUAACCACCAGGCCACGGGGCCAGGCUUGGAUCCAGCUAAUCAAUCAGAUCUUAAAUGAAUGCUAAGUCCUCUGCCUUGGCAUUAACAGUUUAUAAAAUGAUGUUUAGUCUGAGACACAGGCAUGCACACAAACCAUCCCCAUAGAGCCAGCAGGUUUGACAGCCCAGGUGUGUUUCAGAGGCUUUGGGAGCCCAGAGGCAGGAAAAAUAGCAACCAUAACAACAAACCCAAAAUGAAAGAGGUGUUGAUGAUGUUGGAGGUAAUGUUGAUGACUGUAGUAGUCUCUGGUCCUUGAGUGCUUCUUUCAUCCUAACAACGUGGCCUCUGCCCUGAAUGUCUUUAAGCCUUUUGUGAUCUGGAGCUCAGGGCAAACAUGAACUUCCUGAUGUGCUGCAUCCCAAGUUUCCCCAACCCCAUGUUCAUUCACUGGGAGUGGUAGUGAUGCAGGCUCAGUGAGCUGAGCAGUCGAAAGAAAGAUUUCUUGGACUCUCAAGGUCUGGCACUAGUGCUCUUUUAUUCAGAGAAUAGCACGGAGCAGCAUGGGGACAGGACCCAUGGGCAGUAAAGAGCUGCAACAUGGGGACAGGACCCAUGGGUAGCAAGGAGCUGCAGCAUGGAGACAGGACCCACGGGCAGUGAAGAGCUGCGAUGGGUUGAGGGUUAGGGCUAAACUUAUAAGGCAUAGGUAUGUGAGUUAUUUCUUUACAAGACAAAGGGAAGAUCAUGUAAAAAAAAAAAAAAGUCGUUAAAAUGGUAUCAGAGCAGCUGGAGUCUGGUUAUUGGGUGGCCCUAUAACUUUGGAUAAAAAUCAGAUCAGAUCAAGUCAGGAUGUCCUAUGCUUCCCAGAAGAUGAUAUAGAUGAGUAUGGAGGGCAGACAUCUUGGGGUUCUCUUCCCGGGGCAGCCUUGAUCCUCAUCAGUAGGACUGCCAGGGACUUGCCCACUGUGGCAGAGAUUGCUAGUUCUCAUCAGUGUCCAUGCUUCUCUUUCUCCUGGAUACAAGCCUAGACUUGAGAUUAGGAGAGGCCAGGUGCUGAGUCCUGGCAUGUGUGCGG
RNAcentral lists this long non-coding RNA (2656 nucleotides) under Equus caballus (horse). Its description in RNAcentral is "lncRNA (ENSECAG00000045183.1)". The record is from RNAcentral. Lineage: Eukaryota; Metazoa; Chordata; Mammalia; Perissodactyla; Equidae.